AUGGGAGGAGUUUUAUCAUCUGUGUUUGGAAGUGGAGAAGAUGCAGUUGCUACAGGGACUGAAUCUGAGCCAAGUCGCCUCAUCAAGUUUAGCUCUUCAGCUCGGUGGCAGCUUCAUUAUAACGAGACCAAAGAAUCGAACAAACUGCUGGUGGUUGAUUUCUCGGCUUCGUGGUGUGGACCAUGUAGAAUGAUUGAGCCUACGAUUCAUGCCAUGGCUGAUAAGUUCACUGAUGUUGAUUUCGUCAAGUUAGAUGUCGAUGAACUUCCUGAUGUGGCUAAAGAGUUUAAUGUGACGGCAAUGCCAACCUUUGUGCUGGUGAAAAGGGGUAAAGAGGUUGAAAGGAUCAUUGGAGCCAAAAAGGACGAACUUGAGAGGAAAGUUAGCAAACUCAGGGCAUAGUGACCAUUAUUAACACCUUCGCCAAUAACCCCAUUAUUUGUAAACUCAAUAAUAAAUGGUAUGUUGUGGGGGUGGGGGGAGGGAGUUGUUCUAUACUUUCCGCUUCUGCAAGACUUUCUGUGUGAUGCCGCGAUUGAUUAAGAUGGUCUUCAAGCUUACCCUUUAUUCAAUGACCAUUCCACUAAAAGUGUAACGAAUGAUAUCAAGUUGUAAAACCAAAAUGACACCAUCCCGACGUGAUGUGAUUCCUUCCUAAAGCAAAGCUACACCGUUCAACGUUGCGUAUGCGUAUGCAUGCAUGCGUAUACACCCUGGAGCUUUUGCAUUUAUGAACAGACAUGCAUUAAGGAAACUGACUCUGAGAUCUAAUGAUGAUAUUCUUUCUUUCCUUGUUCUGUCUUGGCAGGAACUUGCUCCAGUUCCACCUGUGAAUGUCAGUCAAGAACUGCAUCAUGACCCUGGUCCUGUUGGAGAUGUAACUUCGGUAAUCUUAAAAUAGUUUACUCCUCCUUUAUGAUCUGCUGGAAUAUGUAUGCCUGAGUUUCAUUUGCAAGUAUUCUAAGAUUGUUUGAUUGUGAAAUUUUAGAAGGAACUUGCUCAAGUUCCAUCUGUGAAUGUCAUACCAGAACAGCAUCACGCCACGACUCUUGCUGGAGAUGCAUCUUUGGUAUUCUCAGAGAGAUUUUGUUUCUUUAAAAAUUGUAAAACAAAUCCACGACUCUUGCUGGAGGGUUCUCUAGAUCAGGAGGAGGUUCUGGAUUCUUGUCUUUCUUUGGUUUCUGGUUUUGCUGGACAGGUGGAGGGUGGGAAUGAACUGCCGGAGGGUCAGCAACAUGUGGUGGCUAAACUGAAGGAGAUGGGCUCUGUAAAACCCAAUGAGCUUGGCUUUUACCCUCACAGUUUUACAGAUAAUUGCUACUAGAGAAAGUACUAAACUAUUCUUUAUAAUCAUAAUCAGUUAUCAGGACAACUGCUAGCCGCUUACGGAUAUGGAGCUCCAGAAUUCGACUCUGGAAUCUAUACAUGGCAGAGUGAUGUAUACAUUUUUGCUGUUGUUAUGUUAGAGCUCUUGAUGGGUAGAAUGUCCUACGAUAGGGACCGAAGUAGAGGAGAGCAGUUCUUAGUGAGGUGGGCAAUCCCUCAGCUUCACGAUAUAGAUGCAUUGGGCAAAAUGGUUGAUCCAUCUCUUAAUGGACAAUACCCUGCAAAGUCAUUGUCACACUUUGCUGAUAUAAUUUUCCGGUGUGUUCAUGUAAAAGCACAUACUGACAAUUAGAAACUGGAAUGAGAUGGUUGUGAUUGUGUUUGCUUGACCAAAAAUGUUUUUUUUUCUUUUCUUCUUUUCUAGUCUGAACCAGAAUUCAGACCAUUGAUGUCUGAAGUUGUUCAAGAUCUACUAGAUAUGAUCAGAAGAGAGCGCCAUGGUUCAGGCGAACCUAGUGCAGACUAGGGAUUUGUAAAGAAGCAUUUGUUAUCGGAUCAUCUCUGUGAAUUCGUGGAAACAAGAGAUGUUCAGUUUUCAGAAACAACAACAACAUAGGGAACUAAACCAGACACAUAAAAAAGAGUCAAAGGCCUCAAGAGGAGGCUUAAGCUGAUUAUACAGCCAAGAAGAGGCUUAUUUCAUGUGAAUUAACUCAAGCAAAAGGAUCAAUGUGCUUGCUUCCAAUCAGCGAUUAUUCAAUUGGUGGGGAGUUUCUUUUUGUGAAUCUUGAAUCAUCUGUGUUAGUAAUAUUUGUUCGUUGAAGACCUCAACUGUAAACUGGUGUGUGUUACUCUGAUUCUUUGAACUUGUUUUACUUAAAAGCUCAUAGAUCUUACUCUGUAUUGUAUUCUUUUAACGACUGAGCUAA
Non-coding RNA from Camelina sativa (false flax), 2255 nucleotides. Lineage: Eukaryota; Viridiplantae; Streptophyta; Magnoliopsida; Brassicales; Brassicaceae. The record is from RefSeq and is a predicted model, not a curated record.